AUUUUAAUUUUAUUUUAUUUUUAAACUUUACAUAAUUAUAUUAAUUUUACCAAAUAUCAAAAUAAAUCCACCACAAAUAUACAUAUAUUCCCCAUCCUAAACCCUCCUCCCUCCUCCCUCCCCAUACCAUCCCUCUAAAUCAUCCCAAUACACCAACCCCAAACAUCCAAUAUCGUACAUCGAACCUAAACUAACGACUCAUUUCAUAUAUA
RNAcentral lists this unclassified non-coding RNA (212 nucleotides) under Hevea brasiliensis (rubber tree). The record is from RNAcentral. Lineage: Eukaryota; Viridiplantae; Streptophyta; Magnoliopsida; Malpighiales; Euphorbiaceae.